Molecule: ribosomal RNA, 253 nt
Filed under: uncultured bacterium
Lineage: Bacteria
Description: partial 16S ribosomal RNA
Rfam family: Bacterial small subunit ribosomal RNA
Source: RNAcentral
UACGUAGGGUGCAAGCGUUGUCCGGAAUUAUUGGGCGUAAAGGGCGCGUAGGCGGUUGCUCAAGUCAGGCGUGAAAGCCCCGGGCUCAACCUGGGAAUUGCGCUUGAGACUGGGCGGCUUGAGUUCGGGAGAGGUGAGUGGAAUUCCCAGUGUAGAGGUGAAAUUCGUAGAUAUUGGGAAGAACACCGGUGGCGAAGGCGGCUCACUGGACCGACACUGACGCUGAGGCGCGAAAGCGUGGGGAGCAAACAGG